Molecule: long non-coding RNA, 578 nt
Organism: Thrips palmi
Lineage: Eukaryota; Metazoa; Arthropoda; Insecta; Thysanoptera; Thripidae
Exons: 2
Source: RefSeq, a predicted model, not a curated record
GCGGCCGCCGGCAACUGGCUCACGGCCUGGAGGACGUCCGUGGCGGCCAAGGCGGCCCGCCGGCCCGUCAUCGACAACGACCUGGCCCAGCAGGCCGACGUCUCCGGGCCAGCCUCCGUGCCAGUCGCCGCGCCGGACCCCACCAAGCUCUCCGGCGCCCCACUGGUGUCGCACCUCCGCAAGCUGUACCGGAAGGAAGCCAGUCCACCGAGCCGCCUACAGCUGCAGGGCCUGCAGGACCCGGCCCGGCCCGCCAAGCCCUCCAAGCGCGCCAAGGCGACCGCCAAGACCAAGACCUCCACGACGACGAGGAGGCCGACCGCGGCCCCGGACGACCUGAGCGACGUCGCCCUGGACUAGACGAAGCCGCCCCGCCCGGAGGAGGCGGAGGGGUCGCCGUAGCCAACAUAGUGUAGUGCAACAAGUGUGGGCCGAUGGCCGCGAACCGACCGCGAGGACAGCAUUGGACUGCAGCGGUGUGCAGAGUGCCGGUCCCGGACUUAACUUAUUUCCUGUAGCAUACUGAGGCGGAGUGAAUAAAAUAGCGUAAGACAUUCAAUAAAGUGAAUACUGUGUCA